CAAAAAGGUUAGAAUUCAGCUAAAAAUGGUGAUACGUUGGCUUUUACUUGUAUAUGGUUGUGAGAUAGAUAUUUUGUGUGAUUUGGUGUCCACUCCCACCCCCACCAUUGAAAAUAGAGCAAAAAUUGGAGCUGAGAAAGGAAUCAUUUUCCCUAUUUGGUGGGAAGAGUAUUGCAUAUGCAAUACAUUACGAGAGUAAUUUUGGGAGUGAAAAAGACAAGGAAUAUUCUCGAGAAGGAUGUUUCUGAGAACCUUUGUGUUUUGGUGUUCUUUCUACUAUCCUAAAGAAGUCACACCAUUUCCAGGGAAAUCUAGAGUUAUUCACCAUUAAGACAAAAUAGGUCAUUCUUAAAAUGUUCCUUUACAUCAUUUUUUAUACAAGCUGCACCUCCCAGAGUGAAUGUCAGAAUCAAUGGGUUGGGUAGAACAGAAGUUUCCACCCUCAUUUCCCCAGAGCCCUACCUUUGAUGGGGGGCGGGGGUAUUAAAGGAUGAGGGAAAGGGGCGCUAGGAGGAAUGAUACCCAGGCUCCACCACCUCCUUCAACAACCACAGCCCCACUUUUGUCUGUUUAAUAGAGCAAUCAUUGAAAAUUUCCUUUGAAAAAAAAGGGUCUCAUGUUUUAAAAACUUGGAACAUAAUGGGAAUAGAAAAACUGAUGUGCCUGGAUUAACCCUGGAAAAACAGGAUACAAGUUAUAAAAAUGAUGAAUGUUUCUUCAGACUAAUUGUUUCUUUCUAAUUCCUCACAAGGCUCAUGAAACUAUAUGCUGUUCUCCUGUGGGAUCCACUAACCUUGCACCUUGUGAAUCACUCUCCACUCCCCUCACUUUCUAGUCCUCAAGCUGGGGUGGUCAAGGGUUAGGGGAGAAGCAGGUGAAGUAGGGAGGGCACAUAAAACAGAUGGAUUGGGCUGCUCUCCCCUACAGUUUUAUAUAUGCUUGCCAAAGAAGUAAGACCUCUGUACUGAUAAGAGUAAGAUAAGUCUAAAUGUUUCUUACAGACAAAGUUGACAAGAUUCAAAAGUGGUUUGGGUAAAAGAGACUCAAUCCUAGAGGGGCAUUUGAUUCCAAAAGGGAAGAAGACGUACUUCAUCUGGAACAUCGUGAAGUCACAGAAGAACUUCACAAGUGUUCCGAUCGGAAGGGAGCCCUUUGAGUAAGUGAAAUGAAGCGUGAAUAACUGCCUAAUUAGUGGACAUGAAAACUGGACAGUCUCCAAAGUCAUCAGAGAUGACCACGCUUGCCAGGCAACUUACUAGACUAAGGGUGACGUGCCCAUCAUGCAGGAAGCUUCUCCAAGGCUGGCGAGAGCAACUUGUCUGCUUUGAGAAAUGCAGAUCUAUCAGGAUCCAGAAUCGGACUCUGAAAAAGCUGUCAUUUCAUGUCUCUAAAACAGCCUUUGAUUUAAUGUACAAGAUGUCAAGAAGUAAAGGACAAUAAAAUAAAAACCAAAAAAGGAGAACUAUUUCAAUUAAGAAGCAUUCCUAUAUCAAUUCUUGGAAAUCACAUAAAAUAAAAGCUGUCAGAAUCAAUCUCUGUUUAAAAGGCUGAUUUUUUUGUGGUGCUUACAUACAACAUGCAAGACCAGAAAAAAAUACAAAUUACUAGCACAGAGCAGCCAAACUUAAAAAAUCCUUUCUCAUUAGAGAGAUAUCUGGUUAUUAAAUUUUCCUAAUGGAUCUAGGAAAAGUGUUUUUAUGGCUGGGGC
This 1708-nucleotide long non-coding RNA is filed under the name Homo sapiens (human). RNAcentral's name for it is "HSALNT0011064". Lineage: Eukaryota; Metazoa; Chordata; Mammalia; Primates; Hominidae. The record is from RNAcentral.